AGGGAAGAAGCGAAAGUGACGGUACCUGCAGAAGAAGCGCCGGCUAACUACGUGCCAGCAGCCGCGGUAAUACGUAGGGCGCAAGCGUUAUCCGGAAUUAUUGGGCGUAAAGAGCUCGUAGGCGGUUUGUCGCGUCUGCCGUGAAAGUCCGGGGCUCAACUCCGGAUCUGCGGUGGGUACGGGCAGACUAGAGUGAUGUAGGGGAGACUGGAAUUCCUGGUGUAGCGGUGAAAUGCGCAGAUAUCAGGAGGAACACCGAUGGCGAAGGCAGGUCUCUGGGCAUUAACUGACGCUGAGGAGCGAAAGCAUGGGGAGCGAACAGGAUUAGAUACCCUGGUAGUCCAUGCCGUAAACGUUGGGCACUAGGUGUGGGGGACAUUCCACGUUUUCCGCGCCGUAGCUAACGCAUUAAGUGCCCCGCCUGGGGAGUACGGCCGCAAGGCUAAAACUCAAAGGAAUUGACGGGGGCCCGCACAAGCGGCGGAGCAUGCGGAUUAAUUCGAUGCAACGCGAAGAACCUUACCAAGGCUUGACAUGAACCGGUAACGCCUGGAGACAGGUGCCCCGCUUGCGGUCGGUUUACAGGUGGUGCAUGGUUGUCGUCAGCUCGUGUCGUGAGAUGUUGGGUUAAGUCCCGCAACGAGCGCAACCCUCGUUCUAUGUUGCCAGCACGUGAUGGUGGGGACUCAUAGGAGACUGCCGGGGUCAACUCGGAGGAAGGUGGGGACGACGUCAAAUCAUCAUGCCCCUUAUGUCUUGGGCUUCACGCAUGCUACAAUGGCCGGUACAAAGGGUUGCGAUACUGUGAGGUGGAGCUAAUCCCAAAAAGCCGGUCUCAGUUCGGAUUGGGGUCUGCAACUCGACCCCAUGAAGUCGGAGUCGCUAGUAAUCGCAGAUCAGCAACGCUGCGGUGAAUACGUUCCCGGGCCUUGUACACACCGCCCGUCAAGUCACGAAAGUUGGUAACACCCGAAGCCGGUGGCCUAACCCCUUGUGGGAG
Molecule: ribosomal RNA, 1000 nt
Filed under: Pseudarthrobacter phenanthrenivorans
Lineage: Bacteria; Bacillati; Actinomycetota; Actinomycetes; Micrococcales; Micrococcaceae
Description: bacterial SSU rRNA
Rfam family: Bacterial small subunit ribosomal RNA
Source: RNAcentral